Molecule: long non-coding RNA, 771 nt
Filed under: Zea mays
Lineage: Eukaryota; Viridiplantae; Streptophyta; Magnoliopsida; Poales; Poaceae
Description: drought responsive lncRNA
Source: RNAcentral
CUCGUCCUCAGAAUCUUCUCUCUCGCAAGAUCUAUGGGAGGAAUACAUUGAUCUGAUCAUGUAGUGCAUGUGCAAUGAUACCUGUGAAAUAGAAGUCGUUUUCUGGGGGGAGCUCCAUCGUCGGGAAGAGGGGUCAUGGCUCACCACGGACAAAAGGUAGUUUAUGAUCAAGCUGGUGUGGGAGGCUCACCACGGACAAAAGGAUUUUGACAGCUGUUGUCAACGAAGGCGAGAAUGGUGUACUCUAAGCUCAGCAAUUUCCAGAAAAAAUCGUUAACUUGCAAGUUAGUUUCAAUAUUUCUAGCAUAUUCCAAUCACAGCAUCGUCCAGCGCACACCCAUCCAAUUUAGGGGCUUCUUGUUGUGCUCUCAGGCCCCAGUCGAAAAGCAAGGUCCUGUCAUCACAAACUCCUAGCAAAUUUAGCGAUAUGUCAUGAGAACAAGACAGGACAACAUUACAGCCUCAGAGGUAAUAACCUUCGUUUUCUAUUUGCUUCAGCCAACUUGAUUUACCAGCUUAUCUUCUUCCACUUUCUGCCCAUUUCCUAUUGAUUCAGUCCUUCUACUCAGCUUUGGAGGUUGUCUGUUUACAAAUACGGAAUUGUCCCCAAUACUGUUUUUAUGAUGUUAACACCAUGAACCGAGUAGCAGUUUAUGCCCAUGAGAAUGCUUCAAUGCCCCAUUUGGGUCUUGUGGGCAAAUGAUCGGAUGGUGCAUAACUUCGAUGUAGCUUAUUUGAUCAGCUUAUAAUGGAACGAUGGGAAGACUUUGA